CAGAGAGUUGAUAUGGCGUCAGGACGACGCUGGCGGCGUGCCUAACACAUGCAAGUCGAGCGAGGAGAUCCUCGGGAUGAUCCUAGCGGCGGACGGGUGAGUAACACGUGGGCAACCUGCCUCAUAGAGAGGAAUAGCCUUCCGAAAGGGAGAUUAAUACCUCAUAACAUUGCAGUUUCGCAUGGAACAGCAAUUAAAGGAGUAAUCCGCUAUGAGAUGGGCCCGCGGCGCAUUAGCUAGUUGGUGAGGCAACGGCUCACCAAGGCGACGAUGCGUAGCCGACCUGAGAGGGUGAUCGGCCACAUUGGGACUGAGACACGGCCCAGACUCCUACGGGAGGCAGCAGUGGGGAAUAUUGCACAAUGGGGGAAACCCUGAUGCAAGCAACGCCGCGUGAGUGAUGACGGCCUUCGGGUUGUAAAGCUCUGUCUUCAGGGACGAUAAUGACGGUACCUGAGGAGGAAGCCACGGCUAACUACGUGCCAGCAGCCGC
Molecule: ribosomal RNA, 493 nt
Filed under: uncultured bacterium
Lineage: Bacteria
Description: bacterial SSU rRNA
Rfam family: Bacterial small subunit ribosomal RNA
Source: RNAcentral